GUGUCAGCCGCCGCGGUAAUACGAAGGGGGCUAGCGUUGUUCGGAAUUACUGGGCGUAAAGGGCGCGUAGGCGGUCCUGAUCGUCGGAUGUGAAAGGCCUGGGCUCAACCUGGGAACUGCAUCCGAUACGGCGGGACUGGAGUGUGGGAGAGGUUGGUGGAAUUCCCAGUGUAGAGGUGAAAUUCGUAGAUAUUGGGAAGAACACCGGUGGCGAAGGCGGCCAACUGGACCACAACUGACGCUGAGGCGCGAAAGCGUGGGGAGCAAACAGGAUUAGAAACCCCAGUAGUCC
Molecule: ribosomal RNA, 292 nt
Filed under: uncultured bacterium
Lineage: Bacteria
Description: partial 16S ribosomal RNA
Rfam family: Bacterial small subunit ribosomal RNA
Source: RNAcentral